This is a non-coding RNA of Pelobates cultripes (western spadefoot toad), 233 nucleotides long. NCBI's taxonomy places the organism in Eukaryota, Metazoa, Chordata, Amphibia, Anura, Pelobatidae. The record is from the annotation of a GenBank genome assembly.
CAUUAACUAAGCUCUUGCGGGUUGGUUCUGAUAUUUUCUCUCGGUUUGUUGUCUCAUCCACUUGUCCAAUUAACCUUUUAGAAGCAGAUGUUCUGUCUCGUCUUCAAGCUUCUAUCUCCUUUACUGCUGAUGGCCAGGUUCAAUUACUAACCCCCCUUUCUCGCAAAGAUACUUCCGUCAUUUGCUCUCUGCCCCUACUACUACAUAUGACAUCCCCCACCGAGGAGGUAAGG